This 617-nucleotide long non-coding RNA is filed under the name Marmota monax (woodchuck). The record is from RNAcentral. Lineage: Eukaryota; Metazoa; Chordata; Mammalia; Rodentia; Sciuridae.
GCCAAUACUACCAAUAUGGUUUUAUUUUUGUCAUUGUCAACAUGUACAGCAUUGGAAUUGUAUCAUUUUAUUUUAUUUCUUAAAUAUUACUGAAGUAUGCAUUAAAAAGAUACUAAUACAUUUAAAGCCAGCAGCAGUGACACACACCUAAUCCCAACUAUCUGGGAGGCUGAGGCAAGAAGAUCACAAGUUCAAGGUCAGCCUGAACAAUAUCACCAGACCCAGUCUCAAAUAAAUAUAUAUAAAUAAAAAGGGUUGGGGAUGUGAUUUAGUGGAAUGCAUCAGGGUUCAAUCCCCAGUAUCACCAAAAAACAUUUAAGAAAUAUGACACAUAAGAAGGCCUCUGUAAACAUAAUCCUUUCUCAAUAUUUUUUCCUAUUUUGCUUCAUACGUAAAUAACUGAAUCUAUAUUAUCAACUCUUAUGGCCUAGAACUGCAUACACAUUUUGGAGUUGAGAAUAAAUGUUCUCUUUGAUUUAUAAAUAACAUGCAGUAUUUGUAGUGUUUAGUUUCAUUCAAAUGCUUAUCACAAAUUCUUAUUGUCUCCCAACUUGUUCUGCUAAUAGACCUUUUCAGUUUACUGGUAAAGAUGCCAUGAAUUAAAAGUCAUAAUGGUC